RNAcentral lists this ribosomal RNA (253 nucleotides) under uncultured bacterium. Its description in RNAcentral is "partial 16S ribosomal RNA". It matches the Rfam family "Bacterial small subunit ribosomal RNA", at positions 524 to 776 of the family's 1533-position model. The record is from RNAcentral.
UACGUAGGGUGCAAGCGUUGUCCGGAAUUAUUGGGCGUAAAGAGCUCGUAGGCGGUCUGUCGCGUCGGCUGUGAAAUCCCGAGGCUCAACCUCGGGUCUGCAGUCGAUACGGGCAAACUGGAGUGUUGCAGGGGAGACUGGAAUUCCUGGUGUAGCGGUGAAAUGCGCAGAUAUCAGGAGGAACACCGAUGGCGAAGGCAGGUCUCUGGGCCACUACUGACGCUGAGAAGCGAAAGCAUGGGGAGCGAACAGG